This 784-nucleotide long non-coding RNA is filed under the name Vigna radiata. Its description in RNAcentral is "long non-coding RNA (VRAD_LNC000509)". The record is from RNAcentral. Lineage: Eukaryota; Viridiplantae; Streptophyta; Magnoliopsida; Fabales; Fabaceae.
CCCAUCCCUAGCCCCACCUUCCCCAAUCCUAAAUCCUAGACUAAAAGCCCUUAAAUUAGCGUUCGGUCAGUUUGUCCGUCGUCAUAAUCUCCCUCACAGCAUCGUUAGGUUUGUUUUCACUUUCUGAUUCUGAUUUCACUUUGCAAGCCUUACUUUUUCUUUCGAUGUUCUGCGCUGGAUUGGAUGUGUUGUUUUUUUAUUUUUUAUUAUCUUUAGUUUCAAUGUAUUUCUGUUUUCCAGAUUGUUAUCAAACAGUGGCGAGGUUAGAGUGCUUUUCCCCAACCUUCGUUUUUUUUUUUCUGGUUAAAUGAUCAAAAGCACAAUCCUAUACGUGUUUUCUGUUCAAAAUGCAAGUUUUCCACGCAGAAGCACCAAUUGGGGGCGAGAUUGGAAUGGAGGUGCACGGAGAGAACGCGAUGGCUGAGGAGAAUAGCGAAAUUACGAGGUGAAAUGAAGGCGACAAAUAGCAAGUCGACAUGGUUAAGUUCCUGAAACUCUAUCAUCAGCUCCUUCAACUUCUUCCUCAGCCCAUUGGUGACAGCGACCCGAGUCCUGUAGAUGUCGGCAUGUCAUCCUUGAGACCGGAGAGCGAUUUGCGAUUCCUGGCUUUGGCUUUUGCGAUUUUGAGUGUAGGCUACGUUUCUCUGUGCGUUGCGAUGAAGAUGACCGAGCCGUGCGUCUCUGGUUUGGGGGUUUCUGGAAUUGGGUUUUGCCUUUGUUUUUUUUUUAUGUAGGUCGGGUGACAUGCGAAGGUGUUGAGGUGUAGGCUCGCGAUGACGGCUUG